UGCGCAGGUGGUUUUGUAAGUCAGAUGUGAAAGCCCCGGGCUCAACCUGGGAACUGCGUUUGAAACUACAAGACUAGAGUGUGGCAGAGGGGGGUGGAAUUCCGCGUGUAGCAGUGAAAUGCGUAGAGAUGUGGAGGAACACCGAUGGCGAAGGCAGCCACCUGGGUUAACACUGACGCUCAGGCACGAAAGCAUGGGGAGCAAACAGGAUUAGAUACCCUGGUAGUCC
This 229-nucleotide ribosomal RNA is filed under the name uncultured bacterium. RNAcentral describes it as "partial 16S ribosomal RNA". It matches the Rfam family "Bacterial small subunit ribosomal RNA", at positions 568 to 796 of the family's 1533-position model. The record is from RNAcentral.